GCAUCCAUGGCAUGUGGAAGUUCCCGGUCCAGGGAUGGAAUCCAAGCCACAGCUUUGACCUAUGCCAGAGCUGCGGCAAUGCUGGAUCCUUUAACCCACUGGGCUGAGCUGGGGAUUGAACUGGCAAUGCCACAGAGGCAACGCCAGAUCCCCUCCCUAGCAUUCUUUUUACUACACAGCAUAAGUCACAUAACUCAUGUUACACAAAACUAACUCUUGGGACCAUCCCUCAGUAUAUUCCAAACAACUAAGUUAUUUGAGAACCUUUUUUUCCUGUGUGAUAUAAAAAAUCUGUUGCCGAUGUCCGCUUGGAGGGUGUAAUACUUACGGAAACGCUUGUAUAUUUUACUUAAUAUCAAAAUACCCAGGUUAGAAACAGUAGGUUCCUUCCUUCUGACUGGGGACAGUUGAGAAAGUUGGGACCUCCUCAAAUUCCAGCUACUUUAGCACGGAAGGCUAAACUUCAGCCAGGAGACAGCCAGCAGCUUCUUGCUCGUCAAAUGGCAAGACGCACUGAAUCAGUGUGCCAGAAAGAAUUUAGACUCCACUCCCAUCUUGAUCCUUUUCAGGCCGUCUCCCAACUCCUUACCAUCACUGACUUACUGGCAAAGUGUGCACUCCCGUGAACCAUCCCAGCCGAAUUCCUCAGUCAUUACUUCAUGGAAAGAUGUUCCACCCAAGGCAGCGGAUGGGAGCAGGCGGCCAGGACACUGAGGAUGCAGCUCCAGCCAGCUGCCUUUUCUGGGGAUCAGCACUAGUCUCCACAUGUGGUGUCCACUGCGCCCCAGGACCACCAAAUUCUCCAACCUGGAAUUUCUUCUGGGGGAGGAACAAGAUAAAGAUAGUGUUUCAGUCCCCAGACCCACAGUUCAGGAUACCACUGACUGUGCUUCCCCGUCAGAAUACUCCUGGGAAUCCUCGGGAAGUUCCCAGCCCAAAUCACGGUUUCCGGGGCUUCUUCAGGACACUGGAGUGCAAAUAUCAUCCUGCCUGGAAGAGAGUCCAACUGUGCAUCUCCCUCCUAGCUGUGUGCCAACCACAAUGCAAACGUGGUGAAUGUGUCGGAUCCAGCAAGCAGCAUCCUGGGUGUGCUGGAAAAACCUGCAGUGCAGUCCCAUCGAAUCCCAUUUUGUGAAGGAUCUUGUUAUAAUUAUACUGUUUAUGUCUCUCAGAGCUUCAACCUCUUCAUAGCUGAUGACAAUGCUGGUCCAGCAACGGAAGAGGCAUUGACCAGUCACCAUGAAUUACUACCACAAGUGUAAAAGCAAUAUGGGAAACUGUACUGGUGACCCCUGACAUUUACUGCGAUUUUACUGCGCAUCAGCACUACGUUACGUGAUUUGCAUAAAUGAUCUCAUCUGUGGUCUCAGAACCACCCCACAGGACAGGAAGCCCCCUUUGAGGAUAAAAGAAUUCAUCUAAGAGUCAGACCCCUUCCUGGCUGGUGUGUCCGUGUCUGUCAGAUGACAAGCCGUGGGGAGUCAAUAGCACCCUCACCCCACUCCAUCUGUGAUCCCGGAGAACAAGAGAAGAGGGAAGCAGAUCCCGCUCCUGUGAUUUCAAUUACAGGGAGGUGAAAAAUUAUUUGAUAUCCGAGCUUGCUAAAGGCGCCCAUUCCUUCUGCUCCAAAGAUCUUUCCCGCGAAACUGAACAAAAGAGGAGAAAGAAGUUUCGAUGCAUAUUGAGGGGAAGGGGAGUGGGGAGAAAGCCAGCACAGCAGGCAGAGAGUUGAUGACAAUGCAGACAAAAGAAAGAACUUCUUAAGAUUCUUUCUAAGAAAUGGAAUUCGCCCGGCACUGGUUCUUUUAUUAGAACCUUUCUCGCCCUCUCCCUUGCUCUGUAUCUCCCACACCAAGAAUUAGAUUUGGGGUUUUGAAGCCGCAUUGAUAGCGCAGACUUGGUUGUUACACUCCACGAUGAUAACGUCACUUGAGCCUCCUUGUCUGGGCAGCGCCAGCCAAUUUGUGGCAGCCCCUGGCUGGCACCCACCUUGGUUUUCCUGGAAAUGAAAUCCCCAGUGGGGCUUUUGGCAAAGCUCUCUGUCAUGCCUUAACGCAGAGUCAAACCCUGUAUUAACUGCAGCCCUUGCUGAGACCCCUCCCUGGGCAGGGGUGGCAGGUCCCCCAGGCCAUCAUUCACACCUGUCAGGUGUGUGAGGGAGCCCAGGUUGUCUCAGCCCUCUGAGCUACAGUUUCCUCAUCUGGCAAAUGCAGGAAAGCAAAAUUGACCAAAGAGGGGUUGUGUGAGGCUAAAAUCCGCAGAAACCACUUGGAUCACAGUAGAUGUUUGGUGCUUUGUACCCCUCGAAAUCAGCGCUUCUCUGCAUAAAGAAAGAAUCCUCCUCAAUUAGGCUUUUUGAAGUUAAAAUCUCCAAUUCUACACAAGUGCAAAUCACACGUGCCUCUGUGCCCUGCUGCUUGUUCGGCACUGUUAGCAUUUUCUCUCACCUACCUCUCCAAGCCCUGUGCAUGUUCAUUAAAAAUGUUGCAUCACUGUCUGGUGAUUAAGGAGAAUAA
This 2516-nucleotide long non-coding RNA is filed under the name Sus scrofa (pig). Its description in RNAcentral is "lncRNA (ENSSSCG00000060770.1)". Lineage: Eukaryota; Metazoa; Chordata; Mammalia; Artiodactyla; Suidae. The record is from RNAcentral.